This 431-nucleotide unclassified non-coding RNA is filed under the name soil metagenome. RNAcentral's name for it is "partial contains 5.8S ribosomal RNA, internal transcribed spacer 2, and large subunit ribosomal RNA". The stretch from base 1 to 120 matches the Rfam family "5.8S ribosomal RNA", at positions 35 to 154 of the family's 154-position model. The record is from RNAcentral.
GAUGAAGAACGUAGCGAAAUGCGAUACGUAAUGUGAAUUGCAGAAUUCAGUGAAUCAUCGAAUCUUUGAACGCACAUUGCACUCUCUGGUAUUCCGGAGAGUAUGCUUGUUUGAGUAUCUGUAAACAUCUCAAAUCUCUCUUCAAUUGCUUCAAUUGGGUCGAGAGAAUUGGAUUUGAGCGAUCCCGACUCCUUCGUCAGAAAGAGGAGGGUCGCUUGAAAUGCAGGUGCAGCUGGACAUGCUUCUGAGCAAAAAGCAUAUCUAUUUAGUCCCGUCAAACGGAUUAUUACUUUUGCUUCAGCUAAUAUAAAGGUUGAAUGAACUACCAACGCUGAUUGCAGGAAAACAUGUUCGUUUAUUCGGACUUGUAAACUCGAUCUCAAAUCAAGUAAGACUACCCGCUGAACUUAAGCAUAUCAAUAAGCGGAGGA